AUUUUACGACGAAAACAAGUGGGACUCGUCUCGGCUCCCUUCCACUCGCUAUAGCACCGAGAUGACAUCCUCACUCGCUAUAGCAACCUGUCAGGCCUCAAAGGGCUCCUCCUUUGCGUUCUCCUUUGAAUUCUCAUCGAAACGCUUUUGGUUUCGUCUCAAUCGGAGUUUCCGUUGAGAUUUUACGACAAAAACAAGUAAACCUCAUCCAAAACUCCUUGGCUUGUUUCUGCUCACCCUACCUCCAUCUUUGCGUUC
RNAcentral lists this long non-coding RNA (258 nucleotides) under Brassica rapa (field mustard). Its description in RNAcentral is "long non-coding RNA (BRAP_LNC003603)". Lineage: Eukaryota; Viridiplantae; Streptophyta; Magnoliopsida; Brassicales; Brassicaceae. The record is from RNAcentral.